This 24-nucleotide non-coding RNA is filed under the name Arabidopsis thaliana (thale cress). The record is from RNAcentral. Lineage: Eukaryota; Viridiplantae; Streptophyta; Magnoliopsida; Brassicales; Brassicaceae.
ACUGGCUUAACUCAGGGAUGUGUU